AGAGUGACCUCAGUUCUGUGACUGAUGAAGUAUUUCUGGAAGCCCAGAUUCAGAAUAUGACAACCUCACCUAUGUUUAUGGAGAAAGUUUCAUUGGAGCCAUCUAUUAUGUACAAUGUAACAGAAUUAAAUUCAGUCAGCCAAGCUGGAGAAAGUGUGUCUACGUUUGGGUCAAGAGCAUAUUUGCAACCAAUGGAUACACGCCAGUACUUAUACUGCCUAAAGCCAAAGAAGGAAUUUGCAGAAAAAGCAGGCAUAAUUAAGGGAGUAACAGUAAUUGGAAAAUUGGAUAUAGUAUGGAAAACAAAUCUAGGUGAAAGGGGAAGGUUACAGACCAGCCAACUUCAAAGAAUGGUGAGUCUGGAAAAAACUUCACUGGGGUUUUGGUGUGUGAGAGACAGGUAGUUAGAACAACUUAAUUUUUUCUACAUCCAGCAGUAAAAAAUUGGAGCACUAUAAAAGGCAUUAAUACUACUGGAGAAGAAAAGAUUAAUAGUUUCACUGAUAGGUAGGUAGAAGACUGGUGUUGCCGUGAAUGAAAAAU
Molecule: small RNA, 543 nt
Filed under: Pongo abelii (Sumatran orangutan)
Lineage: Eukaryota; Metazoa; Chordata; Mammalia; Primates; Hominidae
Description: retained intron
Source: RNAcentral